RNAcentral lists this unclassified non-coding RNA (148 nucleotides) under soil metagenome. RNAcentral describes it as "partial internal transcribed spacer 1". The record is from RNAcentral.
UAAUAAGUGUUUUAUGGCACUUUUUAAAUCCAUAUCCCACCUUGUGUGCAAUGUCGGUCGAUCUUCUUUUUUUGAGGAUCGACCAAACAUCAACCUUUAUCUUUUAACUCUUUGUCUGAAAAAUAUUAUGAAUAAACAAUUCAAGAUA